CCCCCCUUGUUGAAUUAGCUCAAAAUAAUGUUUACGACCACAAAUAACAAUAACUGUACCAACCUUGUGUUUAUAAAUGUGGAUAUCGACUUUUCCACUUCAGCAUGUUUUUGUAGUGGCACAAUUGAUGCCACACAGGGUUACGGGCCAGAAGGUUGAUGGUUCUUCGACCACUCACUCUCUCUGCCUGUGUCAUUACACUACGAUCAAAGCCGGCUGCAGACAAUGAUUUUCAACAUUUUGAUGGUAUAUUUAUAAUUACAGUGAGCUCCAAAAGUAUUGUUGUUUUGGCUCUGUAAUCUAGAGCUUUGGAUUUGAAUGAUACAAUGACUAUGAGUUUAAAGUGCAGGCUGUCAGCUUUAAUUUGAGGAUAUUUUCAAGUUUCUACUGUCACAAGCUUGAUGUAGUCAUUGCAUGCUAGGAAUAUGAGACCAAAUACUUAACUUUUUACUAUUUUAAUAGUAAUACUUUUGGUCCCCUGAAAUGGUGGGACAAUUAAUUUGAAAAUAUCCUCAAAUUAAAGCUGACAGUCUGCACUUGAACCUCAUAGUCAUUGUAUCAUUUCAAAUCCAAAGUGCUGGAGUACAGAGCCAAAACAUCAACAAAUGUGUUACUGUCCCAAUACUUUUGGAGCUCACUGUUUAUAAAUACUGUAUAUGCAAUUUAUUUUCCACCAACAGGUUUCUGUGCCAAUGCACCAUACAACCAAUAAGCAAAGCAUACCAACUUCGGGCACUUCAACAUCAAGGUUUGCAUUUUCAACACCACAAUCAAAUAGACCAUGUCAAUCUCGACAAACAGAAAAUACUUCCCUCCCUACCUACCUUGUCCCCAAUAUUGAAGGCUUGGCUAUAUGGAGUACCACCGUAUGAGUCAUAAAACCCGGAAAAUGGUUUCAAUCGUUAUUUCACCAUUCAUUUUUCCAUAUGGGAUUUUAGAACUACUGUAUAUAAGGUCUGUGUUUCAUGUAGGUUUACCCUGUCAUUACGUUUUGAUAACCGCGCAAAUAUUUUACUUUUAUCAAUAAUUAGCAUUGCACAUUUUUUUAGAGUAAAUUGAGGUGAAAAUAUUGACAAAACCUACCUUGUCCAAGAGAGAAUUACACGGCUAUCAAAAUGUCACGCCAAGCCCUUACAGAAUUACCCACCAACAACGGACCAAGCAGCGGAGGAAGGAGAAGCGCCAGGAGAGGAGCGUUCAGGAUUCGUGGACUUGGGAGGAAAUCCUGGACGGGAAAGGACCAUGGGCUCAAGAUGGGGAUUAUCGCCGCCCGCAGUGGGAGAUCGAGGCGGCGAGAGCUGAGAGGCGCUGGUAUGAGGAAAGGGAGCGCAGCAGACACGAGAGGCAGCCCCCCAUUUUUUUUGGGGGGGGCACACGGGAGAUUGGCAGAGUCAGGCGGUAGACCUGAGCCAACUCCCUGUGCUUACCGGAAGCAGCGUGGUACUGGUAAGACACCGUGUUAUGCUGUGGAGCGCACGGUGUCCCCAGUGCGCGUUCAAA
Molecule: long non-coding RNA, 1500 nt
Filed under: Salmo salar (Atlantic salmon)
Lineage: Eukaryota; Metazoa; Chordata; Actinopteri; Salmoniformes; Salmonidae
Description: lncRNA (ENSSSAG00000116909.1, ENSSSAG00000117841.1)
Source: RNAcentral